GGAUCAGACUUUGAUUAUGGCUCAGGACGAACGCUGGCGGCACGCUUAACACAUGCAAGUCGAACGGUGAAGAGAAGCUUGCUUCUUGGAUCAGUGGCGGACGGGUGAGUAACACGUGAGCAACCUGCCUUUAAGAGGGGGAUAACGUUUGGAAACGAACGCUAAUACCGCAUAAUAUAGAAGAUUCGCAUGUUUCUUCUAUCAAAGAUUUAUCGCUUAAAGAUGGGCUCGCGUCUGAUUAGCUAGUUGGUGAGGUAACGGCUCACCAAGGCGACGAUCAGUAGCCGUACUGAGAGGUAGAACGGCCACAUUGGGACUGAGACACGGCCCAGACUCCUACGGGAGGCAGCAGUGGGGAAUAUUGCACAAUGGAGGAAACUCUGAUGCAGCGAUGCCGCGUGAGGGAAGAAGGUUUUCGGAUUGUAAACCUCUGUCUUCAGGGACGAUAAUGACGGUACCUGAGGAGGAAGCUCCGGCUAACUACGUGCCAGCAGCCGCGGUAAUACGUAGGGAGCGAGCGUUGUCCGGAAUUACUGGGUGUAAAGGGAGCGUAGGCGGGAUCUUAAGUCAGGUGUGAAAACUAUGGGCUCAACCCAUAGACUGCACUUGAAACUGAGGUUCUUGAGUGAAGUAGAGGCAGGCGGAAUUCCUAGUGUAGCGGUGAAAUGCGUAGAUAUUAGGAGGAACAUCAGUGGCGAAGGCGGCCUGCUGGGCUUUUACUGACGCUGAGGCUCGAAAGCGUGGGGAGCAAACAGGAUUAGAUACCCUGGUAGUCCACGCUGUAAACGAUGAUUACUAGGUGUGGGGGGACUGACCCCUUCCGUGCCGCAGUUAACACAAUAAGUAAUCCACCUGGGGAGUACGGCCGCAAGGUUGCAACUCAAAGGAAUUGACGG
RNAcentral lists this ribosomal RNA (896 nucleotides) under uncultured Bacillota bacterium. RNAcentral's name for it is "bacterial SSU rRNA". It matches the Rfam family "Bacterial small subunit ribosomal RNA", at positions 1 to 916 of the family's 1533-position model. Lineage: Bacteria; Bacillati; Bacillota. The record is from RNAcentral.